ACAGGGGAGAGUUUGAUCCUGGCUCAGGAUGAACGCUAGCGGCAGGCCUAACACAUGCAAGUCGAGGGGCAGCAUGGCGUAGCGAUAC
This 88-nucleotide ribosomal RNA is filed under the name Bacteroidales bacterium. RNAcentral describes it as "partial 16S ribosomal RNA". It matches the Rfam family "Bacterial small subunit ribosomal RNA", at positions 1 to 85 of the family's 1533-position model. The record is from RNAcentral. Lineage: Bacteria; Pseudomonadati; Bacteroidota; Bacteroidia; Bacteroidales.